CCACAUCCAAAUCAAAUACUCUUACUCAAUUAAGCCAUGGCCAAGCUUCUCCAAACCCUAAUCUCCAUCGCCCUCCUCCUCGCCGCCGCCAACACGGCGCGGUCCCAAACGACGACCUUCGCCUACGACUUCUGGGGCGACCAGCCGACCGAGCUCCUCUACCAAGGCGACGCCCAUUUCCCGUCGGACUCCACCUUCCUCCGCAUGACCAAGACCACCUCCGGCAACGCGGUCGGGUACAGCGUCGGCCGGGUCGUGUACCCGACACCGGUCACGUUCUGGCAGGCCGGGGCGCAGGUCGACUUCGAGACCACCUUGAACUUCAUCAUAACCCCCAACCCCGGCGACACGAACCCGGCCGACGGCUUCACCUUCUUCAUCGCCCCCGUCGACCUACCCCUCGGCUUCACCGGCGGCAGCUACGGAAUCUUCAACUCCUCGGGCGUCGGCCCCUCCGUCUUCGCCGCGGAAUUCGACAUCUUCUCCAACCCCGGAGUGGAUCCCAGCUUUCGUCAUAUUGGGAUCGACAUCGAAUCUAAUGUUUCCAAAAAUGUGACCA
This 559-nucleotide long non-coding RNA is filed under the name Salvia miltiorrhiza (redroot sage). RNAcentral's name for it is "long non-coding RNA (SMIL_LNC007811)". Lineage: Eukaryota; Viridiplantae; Streptophyta; Magnoliopsida; Lamiales; Lamiaceae. The record is from RNAcentral.